RNAcentral lists this ribosomal RNA (450 nucleotides) under uncultured bacterium. RNAcentral describes it as "partial 16S ribosomal RNA". It matches the Rfam family "Bacterial small subunit ribosomal RNA", at positions 354 to 796 of the family's 1533-position model. The record is from RNAcentral.
GUGGGGAAUUUUGGACAAUGGGGGCAACCCUGAUCCAGCAAUGCCGCGUGCAGGAAGAAGGCCUUCGGGUUGUAAACUGCUUUUGUACGGAACGAAAAGGCUCUGGUUAAUACCUGGGGCACAUGACGGUACCGUAAGAAUAAGCACCGGCUAACUACGUGCCAGCAGCCGCGGUAAUACGUAGGGUGCAAGCGUUAAUCGGAAUUACUGGGCGUAAAGCGUGCGCAGGCGGUGCUGUAAGAACGGCGGGAAAUCCCCGGGCUUAACCUGGGAAUGGCGCUUGUGACUGCAGUGCUGGAGUGUGGCAGAGGGGGAUGGAAUUCCGCGUGUAGCAGUGAAAUGCGUAGAUAUGCGGAGGAACACCGAUGGCGAAGGCAAUCCCCUGGGCCUGCACUGACGCUCAUGCACGAAAGCGUGGGGAGCAAACAGGAUUAGAAACCCUGGUAGUCC